RNAcentral lists this microRNA precursor (125 nucleotides) under Brassica napus (rape). RNAcentral's name for it is "MIR9563 microRNA precursor family". It matches the Rfam family "MIR9563 microRNA precursor family". Lineage: Eukaryota; Viridiplantae; Streptophyta; Magnoliopsida; Brassicales; Brassicaceae. The record is from Rfam by way of RNAcentral.
GGAAUAUAAAAAUCUGACUCUUAAUUUUUAACUGAAAAUGCUAAGAGUCGGCUCUUAAAUAAAAGAUUUAAGAGCCGACUCUUAACUUUUUCAGUUAAAAGUUAAGAAUCGGGUUUUUAUAUUCU